RNAcentral lists this ribosomal RNA (421 nucleotides) under uncultured archaeon. Its description in RNAcentral is "partial 16S ribosomal RNA". It matches the Rfam family "Archaeal small subunit ribosomal RNA", at positions 323 to 746 of the family's 1478-position model. The record is from RNAcentral.
CUACGGGCUGCUCCAGUUAGGAAUAAUCUACAAUGCGCGAAAGCGUGAUAGUUUGAGUCAGAGUGCGUUCCAACAGGAAUGCUUUUGCCAAAUCUAAAAAGUUUGGCGAAUAAGGACUGGGUAAGACGAGUGCCAGCCGCCGCGGUAAUACUCGCGGUCCAAGUCGCAGCCAUUUUUAUUGGGUCUAGAACAUCCGUAGCUUGCUUUGUAAGUUUCUUGUGAAAUCCUAUAUCUCAAAUAUGGGGCGCGCAGGAAGUACUACUAAGCUAGAGACUGGAAGACGUAACGAGUACGUUCUAAGUAGCGGUAAAAUGUGUUAAUCUAGAACGGACUAACAAUAGCGAAGGCACGUUACGAGGACAGUUCUGACAGUAAGGGAUGAAAGCUAGGGGCGCAAAACGGAUUAGAUACCCGAGUAGUC